Long non-coding RNA from Rhododendron vialii, 542 nucleotides. RefSeq lists it as uncharacterized. The record is from RefSeq and is a predicted model, not a curated record. NCBI's taxonomy places the organism in Eukaryota, Viridiplantae, Streptophyta, Magnoliopsida, Ericales, Ericaceae. The transcript is spliced from 4 exons.
CUCCAGUUUUUCUACCAGCCAACACAUCCAUCAAGGUGGUCUUACCGGCCCCACUGACACCCAUGAGAGCUGUAAGGACUCCUGGUCUAAAAGCACCGCUUACUCCUUUCAGAAGUUCUAACUGGUCCUCAGUAGGGUGACCCUUAGCUUUGUCAAAUGGAACAGCAAGUUUGUCACCCAGUUUCCGGCCAGCAUGGAAUGACUGAAAUGCUUCUGCAAAUUCCUUCACAUGAACGUAACUAAUACGAAAACGUUGUGUUUGGCUGCAACUCUUAAAAUGAUAGUGCUAGUGGUGGAAGUGGUCUGAGUGUUGGUGCUGGUUGUGGUCAUGUAGUGCUGGCGGCAGCAGUGGGGGUACUUGGUGGUGGUCUUGACAAAACUCUGUCCUGUCUAACUAGGUCUAGAAAAUGACACUUGAAAAAAUGGACAAAGACAAAGGGAAAUCUCAAAGCUAGUGAUCACUUCUUGUAAGAAGUCGGCAACUCCUUUCCUCUCAGGGCACUUGAAUCCCAUGUGUUCAAAGAAUUCAAGCACGCAUUCAC